CUGAGUACGGCGGAACACGUGAAAUUCCGUCGGAAUCCGGGAGGACCAUCUCCCAAGGCUAAAUACUCCCUAGUGACCGAUAGUGAACCAGUACCGUGAGGGAAAGGUGAAAAGCACCCCGGAAGGGGAGUGAAACAGUUCCUGAAACCGUGUGCCUACAAGUAGUUAGAGCCCGUUAAUGGGUGAUAGCGUGCCUUUUGUAGAAUGAACCGGCGAGUUACGAUUUGUUGCAAGGUUAAGCGGAAAAAGCGGAGCCGUAGCGAAAGCGAGUCUGAAUAGGGCGCAUAAGUAACAGGUCGUAGACCCGAAACCAGGUGAUCUACCCAUGUCCAGGAUGAAGGUAAGGUAAUACUUACUGGAGGUCCGAACCCACGCACGUUGAAAAGUGCGGGGAUGAGGUGUGGGUAGCGGAGAAAUUCCAAUCGAACUUGGAGAUAGCUGGUUCUCUCCGAAAUAGCUUUAGGGCUAGCCUCGAGGUAAAGAGUCAUGGAGGUAGAGCACU
This 502-nucleotide ribosomal RNA is filed under the name Listeria monocytogenes. RNAcentral describes it as "partial 23S ribosomal RNA". It matches the Rfam family "Bacterial large subunit ribosomal RNA", at positions 408 to 911 of the family's 2925-position model. The record is from RNAcentral. Lineage: Bacteria; Bacillati; Bacillota; Bacilli; Caryophanales; Listeriaceae.